CAGUCGCCACGGUAAUACAGAGGGUGCAAGCGUUAAUCGGAAUUACUGGGCGUAAAGCGCGCGUAGGUGGUUUGUUAAGUUGGAUGUGAAAGCCCCGGGCUCAACCUGGGAACUGCAUCCAAAACUGGCAAGCUAGAGUACGGUAGAGGGUGGUGGAAUUUCCUGUGUAGCGGUGAAAUGCGUAGAUAUAGGAAGGAACACCAGUGGCGAAGGCGACCACCUGGACUGAUACUGACACUGAGGUGCGAAAGCGUGGGGAGCAAACAGGAUUAGAGACCCCAGUAGUCCCUGUCUCUUAUAC
RNAcentral lists this ribosomal RNA (301 nucleotides) under uncultured bacterium. Its description in RNAcentral is "partial 16S ribosomal RNA". It matches the Rfam family "Bacterial small subunit ribosomal RNA", at positions 509 to 807 of the family's 1533-position model. The record is from RNAcentral.